GCUCGCGUAGCUCAGCUGGCAGAGCAUUGGGCUAGUAUUCCAAAGGUCGUAGGUUCGAUUCCCACCGUGGCCA
This 73-nucleotide transfer RNA is filed under the name Paramuricea clavata. It matches the Rfam family "tRNA". From Rfam's summary of the family: Transfer RNA (tRNA) molecules are approximately 80 nucleotides in length. Their secondary structure includes four short double-helical elements and three loops (D, anti-codon, and T loops). The record is from Rfam by way of RNAcentral. Lineage: Eukaryota; Metazoa; Cnidaria; Anthozoa; Malacalcyonacea; Plexauridae.